GAGGGUGUAGCUCAGUGGCAGAGCGCAUGCUUAGCAUGCACAAGGUCCUGGGUUCAAUCCCCACUACCUACC
This is a transfer RNA of Camelus ferus (Wild Bactrian camel), 72 nucleotides long. It matches the Rfam family "tRNA". From Rfam's summary of the family: Transfer RNA (tRNA) molecules are approximately 80 nucleotides in length. Their secondary structure includes four short double-helical elements and three loops (D, anti-codon, and T loops). The record is from Rfam. NCBI's taxonomy places the organism in Eukaryota, Metazoa, Chordata, Mammalia, Artiodactyla, Camelidae.